ACUUUGACUCUAGGACUCUUUAUGACUGAGUGAGUAACAAAACAAAAUUCUCUGGUUCAGACUUGAGAGAGAAUUGUUAACCAACAGCCUGCAAUAUGCAUUGGGUGAUUGAUUGAAUUGUUAGUUUGAGGAAAAGAUCUGGGGUACUCGAAAUUGGUGAAGGAACCACUUAUUCAGUUAUUCAUCUCUGUCCAAAAAUGAAUAAAACUAAUCAAACAACGGAAAAGAUCACACAGUCAAUCCACUGAUGCAAAGAGUGUCAAAUUAAAGUCAGAACAGCAAGCAAGUACUAAAGAUCUGAUUUUUGUAAAUCAAACAUGUACAAAUAGAUUAAGGAAAAGAGGCCGAGAGAUCGCGCCCCAUGAACAAAAACCCAUGAUCAAAACAAACAUUUAGAUAGAAAAAAACACUCGUUUAUGAGAAAAAUUGAGGAGAAAAGGAAAACCUGCAUCCGAGAAUACCCAACUCCGAUUUCUCCGAGCACCAACGGAAUAAAGUCAAUUUAUGAAAUCUCUGUCCGUAUGAACCCUAAUGAGAUAGAUAUAUAAAUAAGCAUGUCUGAGAGAAAAUCUAUCCACACAUAGAGGAUGGGAAGAAAGUCUUCAACCCACAACGUUGACCAUAGAAUCGGGAUCCAAACCAAAGAAAGGAUUUCCUAGUGGAGAAUAAACUCCCAAAACUCUCCGCAGACGGCAGUGGAAGAUUAUUUUUUCUUUUUUGGACAAUUU
This 728-nucleotide long non-coding RNA is filed under the name Zostera marina. RNAcentral describes it as "long non-coding RNA (ZMAR_LNC001541)". The record is from RNAcentral. Lineage: Eukaryota; Viridiplantae; Streptophyta; Magnoliopsida; Alismatales; Zosteraceae.